This 55-nucleotide transfer RNA is filed under the name Dictyocaulus viviparus (bovine lungworm). RNAcentral's name for it is "tRNA-Leu1". The record is from RNAcentral. Lineage: Eukaryota; Metazoa; Nematoda; Chromadorea; Rhabditida; Metastrongylidae.
ACAUAAUUAGUAUAUUAAGUAUUUUAAAUUUAGAAUUUAAGGGUUUUUUUAUGUU